UUAGUCAUGACCCUAUCACGGGCAAUGAGAUGAAGUUCCAUCAUAUGUGGAGCAAAAUUCACCAUCCUUAUAAAUACAAUAUUAUAAAUAGUCAAAGAUUGAACCAUACAAUCACCAUCCUUAUAAAAUAUAAAGUACCAAUGUACAUCAGUAGAGUUCAAUAACUUUAGUUGCCCUUACUAUACAAAACUAUGAAAUGCCAAAUAUUCAAUAAGU
RNAcentral lists this long non-coding RNA (216 nucleotides) under Prunus persica (peach). RNAcentral describes it as "long non-coding RNA (PPER_LNC001229)". Lineage: Eukaryota; Viridiplantae; Streptophyta; Magnoliopsida; Rosales; Rosaceae. The record is from RNAcentral.